UACGGAGGCAGCAGUGGGGAAUAUUGCACAAUGGGCGCAAGCCUGAUGCAGCCAUGCCGCGUGUGUGAAGAAGGCCUUCGGGUUGUAAAGCACUUUCAGCGAGGAGGAAGGCCCGAUGGUUAAUACCCAUCAGGAUUGACGUUACUCGCAGAAGAAGCACCGGCUAACUCCGUGCCAGCGACCGCGGUAAU
RNAcentral lists this ribosomal RNA (191 nucleotides) under uncultured Gammaproteobacteria bacterium. RNAcentral describes it as "partial 16S ribosomal RNA". It matches the Rfam family "Bacterial small subunit ribosomal RNA", at positions 340 to 524 of the family's 1533-position model. The record is from RNAcentral. Lineage: Bacteria; Pseudomonadati; Pseudomonadota; Gammaproteobacteria.